Molecule: small nuclear RNA, 23 nt
Filed under: Arabidopsis thaliana (thale cress)
Lineage: Eukaryota; Viridiplantae; Streptophyta; Magnoliopsida; Brassicales; Brassicaceae
Description: snRNA_11352
Source: RNAcentral
AAGUGGAAGCUUCCUUGCUCAUU